GACGAACGCUGGCGGCGUGCUUAACACAUGCAAGUCGAACGGAAAGGCCCUGCUUGCUGGGUACUCGAGGGGCGAACGAGUGAGUAAUACGUGAGUGAUCCGCCCUUCACUGCUAGAUACGCCUGAGUGACUGGGUCUAAUACUGGAUAUGCGCGGUGCAUGGCGUGAUGGUUGGAGAGUUUUUUGUGUGUAGGCUGUGCGCGCGGCCUAUAAGCUUUUUGGUGGGGUAAGGGGCUACAAAGGCGGCGACGGGGACCCCGCCUGAGAGGGUGGACGGCCACAUUGGGGCUGAGAUACGGCGCAGACUCCUACGGGAGGCAGCAGUGGGGAAUAUUGCACAAUGGGCGCGAGCCUGAUGCAGCGACGCCGCGUGGGGGAUGACGGCCUUCGGGUUGUAAACUCCUUUCGCUAGGGGCGAAGCUUUUUGUGACGGUACCUAGAUAAGAAGCACCGGCUAACUACGUG
RNAcentral lists this ribosomal RNA (465 nucleotides) under uncultured bacterium. RNAcentral describes it as "partial 16S ribosomal RNA". It matches the Rfam family "Bacterial small subunit ribosomal RNA", at positions 28 to 507 of the family's 1533-position model. The record is from RNAcentral.